This 378-nucleotide unclassified non-coding RNA is filed under the name plant metagenome. Its description in RNAcentral is "partial contains 5.8S ribosomal RNA, internal transcribed spacer 2, and large subunit ribosomal RNA". The stretch from base 1 to 105 matches the Rfam family "5.8S ribosomal RNA", at positions 50 to 154 of the family's 154-position model. The record is from RNAcentral.
GAAAUGCGAUAAGUAAUGUGAAUUGCAGAAUUCAGUGAAUCAUCGAAUCUUUGAACGCACCUUGCGCUCCUUGGUAUUCCUUGGAGCAUGCCUGUUUGAGUAUCAUGAAAUCUUCAAAGUAAAUCUUUUGUUAACUCAAUUGGUUUCUACUUUGGUAUUGGAGGUCUUUGCAGCUUCACACCUGCUCCUCUUUGUUCAUUAGCUGGAUCUCAGUGUUAUGCUUGGUUCCACUCGGCGUGAUAAGUUAUCUAUCGCUGAGGACACUGUAAAAGGUGGCCAAGGUAAAUGCAGAUGAACCGCUUCUAAUAGUCCAUUGACUUGGACAAUACUUUCAUGAUCUGAUCUCAAAUCAGGUAGGACUACCCGCUGAACUUAAGC